AUUUAUAUAAUAUAUAUAUAUAUAUAAUUUUGAUAAAUUUUAAUUAAUUUAAAAUGUUAAUUUUUAUUUAAAUA
This 74-nucleotide transfer RNA is filed under the name Pholetesor sp. SNS-2016. Its description in RNAcentral is "tRNA-Ile". The record is from RNAcentral. Lineage: Eukaryota; Metazoa; Arthropoda; Insecta; Hymenoptera; Braconidae.